Hyposmocoma kahamanoa is the source of this 1687-nucleotide long non-coding RNA. RefSeq lists it as uncharacterized. The record is from RefSeq and is a predicted model, not a curated record. The transcript is spliced from 3 exons. Lineage: Eukaryota; Metazoa; Arthropoda; Insecta; Lepidoptera; Cosmopterigidae.
UGCUCCCAGACGUCCGCAGAUGCCAACGUACCCUAGUGCAAAUCAACUUUGAAGCAAGUUUCUACAAGUUUUAGUGUUGCCCUUAAGAAAUUCCUGAGUGCUAAAGCCGAUUUGCUUGUAAAGGUCAUUAUGCCGUCUCUUACGUAUACAAAAGUCGAGCAGCAAUUUGAGAUCUACGUAUACGUCCUGGGUUAUUACCUUCAUGCUCAAAAAUGCCUCGACUCAACUACGUGCAGGUACCAGAAGCGGUUAGGCACCUGUCAGCGAAUAAAAGACGCUAUGAAACAUAUUGGUGUCUGCAAGAACAUGCGCGCUUGCACUGUCCCCUUUUGCAGGAUUACACGAGCUGUUGAACGUCAUUGGCAGAAUUGUAACAAUAACGAGUGCCGGGUGUGCGAGAUAUACUUGGCCAAAGGCUAUGGUCUGCAGUAAGUUUGUUGUUCAACUACGCUUGCGAAUUUCUAAUUUUGAAUCCUGCAAAUCGUUUUUUAUGAUUUACUCAAACGUUCUGGCGAAGUAAUAGUAUGUUUUGAUGUACCUAUACAACAUACAUAUCCUAAAGCAAAUGUGAAUUAUAUUUUCGAAUUGUUAUAAGUUUACAAUGUAUACAAUUUAAAUCUUUAAUUAUACAUUCCUUUCCUAUUGCUAUUCCUAAUUAAUAACUAUGUAGAAAUGUUGCAAGUGAUUCUAGAUUGUAAACUCCCGGCAUUCCAGGAAGCUAAAAAACAUCUUUAAUAUUUCUGUGCGACUUACAAUCCUUUGCGCGUAAUUAUGAGUCCGCAUAAUAAUUUUACACAUAAUUAUAGAAACUGAUUUUUCUAUAAUUAUGCAAAAAAACUGUUAUGCCAUGUUCAUAGUAAAUAAGAUAAGAGUUUUAGCUAGGAUGUUAUAUUAUUUCGCAGUUGGUCUAAUAAUGAUACAAGGUACAAAACGUAUUAAAUUAUGAUUCAGAUUUAUAACACAAAAUAAGUAUUAAUAAUUUUAAAUAAUUCUUACAAUUUUUUUCAGUUAGAACGAAAACAAUAUUAUUUUAGAACAGAGCAAUUUGUCUUCUCGGUGUUAGUAUUAAGGUUUUUCUCCUUCAGCCUGUAAUCAUCCACUGCUGAGUGUAGACCGUCCUUUUUGACCUUGGGCUAUUUGCAUCCAUUACUUUAGUCGUCGAUUAUUCAAUGUUAAGCUUUUAUUCUGACUAAACAUUAUAGAUUGUUUUGAGGCAUUAUUUAUUGCAAACAGCGAGUUUGGACAAAACAAAUCAUUUUUGGACCAAAAUCAAAGGUUGUAACAAUACUUAAUGAAUUUAAAAGCCCGGUAAAGGGAACAGGGUUUCUUCACUAUGGAACUUUGGAAUAUUCUAAUGUACAAGUGAUUGUUCAAUACCGUCAAUUAUACAUCGUCUGUAGUAGGCUUUUUAAUGACAGAUAGUAAACUUUGCUAGCUUUUGAUGAAAUAAUAUCACAGUGUAAUUUGGACAAGGUACUGCAACUGUAUCAGCGAAGCUUGUAUGUGCGCACACAUUCGCAUAAUGUCAAGGUGCACUCGAGGGUUGCACGCGGUACACUUUAUUUCAUUCAUUCUUUCAUUCUUUGUUUCAUUAAUUAUUUAUUAUAUAAAGAAUUGACGCGUUCACCAGGUGUUUAAAAUAUUGAUAAUAAGAAUAUUUUUCUGUGUCAAUGAGUUUUUUUUAUUU